AUUAAUCCUGAGAGAGAACUGGAAACCAGAUAAACAGAACCUCCACAACAAGCGACGGUGCUGACUGGGGUGGAAGAGGCAGAAAUAUCCUUCUGGAGAGGAAAUAAGCCACAUUCUGGCUGUGGCACUUCACAGCUAGGAGCAAUCUUAAGAAAUACUACAAAGGUGAUAUUUUCUUCUCAGGACAUCAUGUCAGGAGGCACAUAGUAUCAAUUUAUACCAUUACUGAAGGUGUUAACUUUGGUUGCUUGAUUAAGAUUGCCAAUUCCUCAGUAUAAAGGUUCUAUCAUUUGCAUUCCCACCAGCAAUGAAAGAGAGUGCCUCACAGCCUUGCCAGCAGAAUGUGUUGCCAAGAUUUUUAAUUUUUUGCCAAUCCAAUAGAAGAGAAAUGGUGUCUCAGGUUCUGCCCACCGUUUCCACAGCUGGAGCCGUUUUCAAGGAUGCAGCCUCGAGAGAGCAAUGUGUUGCUGAGACUGUCUGGCCGCCUUAUGUGACUGAACCCCAUAAAGGUUUCUACACAAAUUUUGGAGAUUCUGGCGGUCAGGUGUGAUCUCCUCUUGCGGCUGCCCAAGACAAGCCUCCUAAGUGAGUUCCCUUGUUUAUUAAACGUGCCACCUACCAAUCUGAGUGGACUGACUCUUCCUUCGUUCUCUCCUUGCCCUCCAUGUAGCAGGGCCAGUUUCAAAUUCCAGAGGAACUCCCCAGGUUGCGAACCAACAGCCCCUUCUCUCUCCUCCC
This 738-nucleotide long non-coding RNA is filed under the name Equus caballus (horse). Its description in RNAcentral is "lncRNA (ENSECAG00000045266.1)". Lineage: Eukaryota; Metazoa; Chordata; Mammalia; Perissodactyla; Equidae. The record is from RNAcentral.